RNAcentral lists this ribosomal RNA (472 nucleotides) under uncultured bacterium. Its description in RNAcentral is "bacterial SSU rRNA". It matches the Rfam family "Bacterial small subunit ribosomal RNA", at positions 335 to 800 of the family's 1533-position model. The record is from RNAcentral.
ACUCCUACGGGAGGCAGCAGUGGGGAAUAUUGCACAAUGGGCGCAAGCCUGAUGCAGCCAUGCCGCGUGUAUGAAGAAGGCCUUCGGGUUGUAAAGUACUUUCAGCAGUGAGGAAGGUGGGUAUGUUAAUAGCAUACUCAUUUGACGUUAGCUGCAGAAGAAGCACCGGCUAACUCCGUGCCAGCAGCCGCGGUAAUACGGAGGGUGCGAGCGUUAAUCGGAAUUACUGGGCGUAAAGCGCAUGCAGGUGGUUUGUUAAGUCAGAUGUGAAAGCCCGGGGCUCAACCUCGGAAUUGCAUUUGAAACUGGCAAACUAGAGUACUGUAGAGGGGGGUAGAAUUUCAGGUGUAGCGGUGAAAUGCGUAGAGAUCUGAAGGAAUACCGGUGGCGAAGGCGGCCCCCUGGACAGAUACUGACACUCAGAUGCGAAAGCGUGGGGAGCAAACAGGAUUAGAUCCCUGGUAGGCUCUGC